RNAcentral lists this long non-coding RNA (9470 nucleotides) under Homo sapiens (human). Its description in RNAcentral is "non-protein coding lnc-MARCKS-1:7". The record is from RNAcentral. Lineage: Eukaryota; Metazoa; Chordata; Mammalia; Primates; Hominidae.
GAGUGCAACAGCUGAUCCCUUUCGGAGUGGAGUUUCCUAGCUGGUGCCUGUCCUCUCUUGAGCCUUUGUUUCUUGAGUGAGCACUCACUGGGGCUGUGGCUCCAUGAACUGGAUUUCAGGAAACCAGCCAAGGCAUUCUCUCUCUCUCUCCAUUCCUAGAAAGGCAGAAAGCCUGGGAAUGGGUUCGGCAGGAAGAUCUCUGUACCUCAAUCUCCAUUGCUUUCAGCACCACUGGCUUUCUCCCCAGCUCAAGUGCAAAACCUGCCAUCGUUGCUACCUGGGGUGCCUCAGACUCACCCAAGUCCCCCAGGCCAGAGGACAUGCUCUCAAGCCUUGUUUCAGAAAGAGGGACCCAAAGGCUGUUAGGGAAGAGAACCAGGGUCCUCAAACCCAGGGUUUUCUCACCCACUGCCUCUGCUCUGGCUGUGGCCUGCCAGACCUCUCCUCUGAUUUUCGCUUUCCUUCCUGCCAGUGCCUUUGUUUAUCCGAGGCGCCAAGAUCCCACUGUGAAGUCUGAAAGGAAGACCAGUGGUUCUCGCUUUUCCUCUAGAUGCUGUGUCUCCCAAUGUCAUCUUCUUUCCUCUCAAAGACAAUUGGACGUUGUUACAGAUUUUCUUGGAAUGAGUAAAUACCUAGCAGUGGGAUUGCUGGAUCAUAUGAAAAUGCCAGACUAUAUUUCAUCAGCAACAUCGGAGAGUUCCAGUUGCUCUACACCCUCACUAGCACUUAAUAUUGUUGAUCGCUGCCUGGAUUCACAGAAGGACAAAUUACAAUGCAUUUUGAAAGACUCGUCUACAGUCAACUAAAAUACCAGUUAUCACAGACUUCACUGGCCUUAAUGAGGAGGCUGAGAGGGAUUUAAUUACUGGGACAUGCAACGCUUACACCAAACUCUGUUCGAUUCACGACUUGGAAAAGCAAAUGUGGAUACAGAUGAGUGUGGACAUGGCUUCAGUAGGAAAUGUCGAGUUUGUUCAUCACUCUGAAGUUUCUUCAGCUGCAACGGAAACUGCACCCUCCCUCCCGACUUGUUGGUUAUCUUGCUGUGCUCCCAAGAAGGUAUUUUCUGCUGACCUGAUAGAUCAGGUAAGAGAAUAGCAAUGUGUCUUUUGUCAUCUGCCUCCAGUUCCCUGGCUGCCUGCAUUGCUGUGUUUGUUAUCUGUGGAUUGAAGGUGACACCACUCUCAAGGAGGGUGAAGGCAGAGGUGUAUGCACAGCUAGUACCAGUAACACCCCUAGAGUGAGCCAAGAGAAGAUGAGGUAAGGAGGAAAGGGAGACUUAGUCAUGGGCCUAGGAAAAAGCGUGGGGGGUUACCUAUGUAGAAGGUAUGGAUGGUGAAGCUGGAUCUCUUUUUACCUGUGGUGAGCACACCAUACCGGACAACCCAGGGCCUACAUUAUAGAGGGUGCACUCUGCACAUGCAAUGCAUUUUGUCAACAGAAAGCUCUGUGUAAAAGUCUUAAAGCAACUCUUUAGAAAUCCUGUUUCAUUAUUAAUUUAGAAGGAUUCAAAUAGGAAAUGUGGCAACAGCUGUAAUGGGUAUUAAAAGCCCCCACUGGCAGUGCUGGGUCUUAGCUGCCUCCAGUGGUGAUCCUCUUCAAAUAAGGAAUCUUGAGCCAAAAAUCCACCCUUCCUGUUAAAUAAGUGUUCAUACUCAUUAUUUUAUUAUAAAAGUCAUAAUAGCUUGAUUGUGCCUCAAUCUAAAAUACUGAUAAUAAUAACAGUAAUAAUGUUUGCCUUCGUGAUGUUGUUGUGGAGAAGAAACAAGUUAAUAUAGAUAAAGUACUUAACAUAGUAUCAGGCCAACAUAGGAUCAUAGCAAGAGGAAGCAUUCAAUAAUUAGUUGUGGUUGGGUUAUCAUUAUUGUUGUUGCUAUUGUUGUUAUUAUGACACUAACAUCUACAACUUUCUGUAUUUCAUCUGUCAACAAAUAUUUCAAUAUCAAAUCUGAUCCUGCUCCUUGACUCAGACCUUUGUCAUUUUGAUUGAAAAGAUGUUUACCUGUUGGUCCCCAGCCUCACUCUUCUGAACCUCAGAUCCACUGAGUGUGUAUCCAGAGGUAAGUAUGUGGUAAGUAUGCUUGUCAUUUACAUUAUCUGUCAGCAUGAGUAUUGGUUUCCUAGAAACCUAAUAUUGAAAACACUUAGCAUUGCUAAAAGCAUUAAAUGAAAUAAAGACUCAAUAUAGCUGCACUAAUCUGUGCUUUCUAAAUUUACUGAUGGACGUGAAGAAAGUAGGUUGGCAUGGAGUUUAUACAAUUUAUGGAUCACACUGAUCUGAAUUCAGACAGUGUGUGCUCAGAUAAAAAUAUUGUUUCCUCCCAUGAGGUUUCCAAUUUUGCAGAGAAGAAUACCUCUGUUUAGCUCAUUACUUAACACAAUGGGUAGCUGGGUGGCCUUGCAUUCUGGAAGUGAAAUGACACAAGAAUGUCUCCACUGCAUUCUCCAGAGGUAAAGAUUCUCUGGCACAAAAUCACAACCAAGGUGGGGUUCCAAAACUAUAGAACAAAUGGCAGCAGCCAUGCAGCCAGCCUUGGUUCGGGUGGGCUGUAAAAGCAGAGGUUGUCCUCGUGUUAUCAGCACUGACUUCCUGUUGUGGCCACACUGACAGAGAUGAGAUGGCAGAAAGCAGGAAAGAGACCAGAGCUGCAAUUGACAGAUGGCUGGCCAAAGUUGAAGGGUCAGAGACUACACCAAAGACUUCUCAGAAAAUACUUGCCUAGGAGGCUCUCACUUGGAAAGAUAUUCAGGGUUGUUAAACAUAUCCUGUUAUUAGGAAAACGAGAGUUUUAUCUUUCUCUUACUCAGAAAGAAAAAACAAAAAGAAAAUUAGUGCUCUUAAGAAAAGCUAUUUUAAUGUUAUCCAUUAUAAAAUUAGAAAACCUUGAAAGGCAAAUGUUUCUUCUGACCAUUUACACUGAGCUUCUUUCAUUAUCUCAUAUGCAACCUUGUGGAUUGAAGGUGGAGAGUCCUUAGGAUUACCCAGGAACAUCCCUGUCUGCUCCCCCUGCUAGGCAGGAGGAGAUUUGAAACCACAUGUGUCUACUUCAUUUCUGUCACGGGUAGGACAGUGUCAUAUACUUUGUAGGUAACUCAAAGAUAUUAUAGGUAACUCAUAGAUAUUGAUUGAAUUAAUGUUUAAUAAAAUGAGAACACCAGCUCUGCUGUUAUCAUCAUCCUCAUUUCGAUUCGCUGAACUCUGCACCAAGGCCAAAUACAUUAUACUUUAGGCUUUGUUAAAGCCAUCUAUGUAAAGCUGGCUGAAGUCGAACUGUACAGUAAACAAGAGAUGGUAAUAGUCUCUGCAUGUGUUAUUUCUUUCAACUCCAAACCUCAAAGCAUUUUAGGAAGAAAUACUAUUUCAUCUUUAAAAAAAAAUAGAAAAAAGAAACUUCUGAAAAAUUAAUGCAAUCUAAAUAAUAGUCAUUAAAAAGUAAAUUAUGGUAAAAUGGCAUACUAUGCAGUCAUUAAAGAGACGAUGUUGCUCUAUACUUAUUUACAUAGAACAUUAUCCUUGGGAAAAAAACUUAUUUAAAAAAUAGAAACAGUUUAAAAUAUGUUUAAUAUAAUGCCUUUCGUAAAAAAAAAUGUAUGGGUAUAUGUGUAAAAAUGUGUAUGGGUGUGUGUGUGUUUGUAAAUAGGAAAUAAUUGGAAGAUAUUCAACACAAGUUUCCAUGGAUGAGAUGGGAGGCAGAUGAUAAGUGAUAUUUGUUUCUAUAUUGUAUGUAUUACUACAUUUUCUGUUUUUAUAGUAAUGAAAAAGUAUUAGUUUACAUUCUGAAAUAAAUGUAACUAGCUUAAAAUAAUAUGUAGCAGCAAUCUUAAAAAAUUUUUAUUUACUAAAAAUCUCAUCAUCCAAUAAUUAUUUAAAUACCUUUUCAUACUAUCUGUAUAAGUUAGCUAAUGUUUUAUAACAAAGCCUUGAAGUAGUAAUUUAUUAUUAUGGCCCAUGAAUCUGUGGGACACCUGAGGACUAAGUAUUGACUGACUUAGGUUGAGCUUCACUGACAUUAUAGACUGAAUUAUGGCCUUCAAAAUUCAUAUGUUGAAAUCCAAAUCCCCAGUACCUCAGAAUGUGAUUGUAUUCAGAGAUGGGGUCUUUAAAGAGGUAAUUAAGGUAAAGUGAGGUCAUAAGGGUGGGUUCUAAUCCAAUAAGAUUGGUAUCCUUAUAAAAAGAGGAGAUUUGGACACAAACCUGAGCAUAGAGAAAACACCAUGUGAACAUAAAGACAGCCAUCUACAAGGCACAGAGAGAGGCCUCAGAAGAAAUCAGACCUGCUGACACCUUGAUCUUAGAUCUCCAGCCUGCAGAACUGUUAGGAAAUAAAUGUCUGUUGUUUUAAUUUACAUAGUCUCUGAUACUUUGUUAUGGCAGCCCUAGCAAACUCACAAGCUGCUAUCAACUGGGGUCACAUUAUAGGUUGACUAGGAGACCUGCUCUAAGCUAGAUCUGUGUAGGGUACUUUAGCUGGGGGAACUCAUCUCCAAAUGUCUAAAUUUCUUCUUCAAGCACCUGUGAACUUCAAGCUCUGGCAUAUCCUUCUCAUGGAUGGCAAGAACACAAGAGAGAAAGUGGAAACAUGCAAAAUUUCUUGAGACCUAAUCUUGGAGCUAGCACACUGUCACUUCUGUCUCAUUCUGUUGGUUUAAGCAAUUCACAUGACUAAGCCUAAGAUAGAGAAUUAUGCUGUGUCUACUAUGGGAAAGCAUUGCAAAGUGGCAUGGUAAAGAGUGUAGAUGCCGGGGAGGGAGAGUAGGGCAGAGCAAUCAGGGCCAAUGAUAUAAUCUACCAUGAUACCUUAGUGUUCACAUAUCUGUUUAUAUUGCAGCAUUCUUAGUCCACAUACUGUAACUAUAUAUUUCCAAUUUCACUCAAUAUUUAAUCUUAUAUCACAUUUUUAACAUAAUUCAUUUUUUAUUUUAUCGAAUGCAUAAUAUAUAUAUUAAUUGAGACUUCAGAGGUACAUGGUCAAUUGCACAGUAGGAUAGUGAGGAACUAGAAUAAGGAAAAUCACAUUGAAAAUUUGUUCCAAAAAAUUAGUCAGUAAAAUUAGCACAUAAAUAAACCAAUAUAAAAGUUUAAUUCAAAUGGAAAAUUUCAUAACAGCACAGUAUAGUGUUUUGCACAUAGCAAGCACUCAAUCAUGUUUGUUGACUAGACUCUAUGUGAAUUUGUUUUGAAUGUGGGAACUGUUGCUAAAACAACACAUUCAAAAUGUGGAAAACCUCAUUUUUUGAAAUAAAGAACAACAGCAACAAUAAAAAAUACAUACAAAAUACUGAUGACAGUAUAAACUGUAAAAUGUCACAAUUUAGUAUCCAUCCUCAGCUUUCUGCUUAGAAACAUGUGGAAGCAUUUUACAGGCCUGUUAAAACUUUUUGAUCUACUUGGAUGAAAGAUUAGCUAAAAUUUAGCCAUUCUGUUACCACUUUAAAACUAUGAUUUUAUUUUUGCACUCCAAACACUUUUAAGUUACUGAAAAAUGAAUAAUCAAAGAAUUUUGUUUUCUGAAGAGAGAUAGCCUCAUUUUUCUAAGAGGAUCAAAGGAUGAGAAAGCUUUGUUGAAGGUUUCCUUCUAAGAGAAAGUAAAUCUUGGCUCCAAAUUCAUUUUCCAAAUCAGGAAGUAGAAAAUUUUUUCAGGAAAGGAUUGAACUAGGGAAGCAGAAAAAAAAAAUUUUCCACUGGUUAAUUAUUUUGAUAAUUUGGUUCUAAAAACAUUACCAGUAUAUAUAUUGCUAAAAAAAUAUUUUAGUGUCUUAUAUGGUAAGUAAUUCCAUCAUUUAAAAAGCAUGUGGAAAUUGCAAAGCUAAAUAGCAGACAUAUAUUUAUUAUAUUUGGUUCAUGCACAUACUCUAGGGAUAGCUAAAUGUGUGUAUAGUACUCUUUUGUAUCCUCUAUGAAACCUCUCCAAAGCUAUUAUGAAUUAUAUUGUUUAAAUAUGUCCUCACUCAGCUUCAUGAGAGUUAUUCCCAACUCAGUUUCAAACUGAACACAUGUUGCAUCUGUUUUCUGUUUGUGAAUAUUGAAUGUUUGGCACUUUCAUUGGGAUAUUUUUCUUUGGAAUGAAAUAAUUUCAAAUAUUCACUUAAUCAAAACAUCAGUUUCCUUUUCCAGUUUCCAUUGUGGAUUGUUGGUAGGUUUCCCAGACCAGCUCUCUUGUGCUGUGCAGAGGGACCCUCCUCCUCUUGGUGCAUAGGAAGGAACAGAGGGGAAAGGAAACAACAUCUGGACCAUGGGCUUGUCCCUUCUCCACAUCUUGUUCCUCUCUAGAUUUCACCUGACUUGAGGUCUCAUUCAAGUACUCUUGAAGAUUUUAACUGUUUUGUCCUCUUCUGAUUAUUUAUAACUUCCUUUUUUUCUUUUUGAAAAUGUUACUGGGAGCAGAAUAAUUGAAGUUCUGUGAAGCCACUGGAAACUCACUGCUCCCUCUCCUGCCAGUUUCAAUAAAAAGCUUUUUUUUUUUUUUUGAGGACCUAUAUCUUUGGGAUAUACAUGUUUAAGCAAAAUUAACCUGGCAGGGGAGAUACAUUGAGAAGGGUUGAUUGAAGCAGUAAGAGAUUGGAAGGGGGAAAGACAAACUCAGAGGCUCUGGCCACCAUGCAUGGAGGAAAUGAGGAAGAUUACUGCUGUAAAAUUCAGUGAAAAAAAUCCAUGUGCUACUAGGAAAAGCAUGGACUUCAAAAUCAGAAAAAUUGGAGUUGAAUCCCAGCCCAACAACUCAUAAACUCUGUGACUUCAAGCAAGGUACCCAACUUCCUUAAACCUCAUUUUCUCAACUUAUAAAAUGGAUGUGAAAUCAGCAUACAUAAUUGUUAUAAAGACUAAAUUAUAAAGGUUUUUAAAUGCUUAGUGUUUUGAUCAGUUUAAAUUGCUACAACAGAACACCAUAGACUGUGUUAAACAACAAACAUUAUUUUUCACACUUCUAAAGGCAAGGGAGUCUAAGAUAAAGACAUCAAGAGAUUUGGUGUUAGAUGAGGGCCCACUACUUGGUUUAUAGAUGGCCAUCUUCUCACUGUAUCUUCACCUAACAGAAAAAGAGCAAGAGAGCAAUCUGCAGUCCCUUUCAUACAGGCACUAAUCUCAUUCAUGAGGGCUCCACCCUCAUUACAUAAUUAUCUCCCAAAGGCUUCUCCUAAUACUAUCACGUUGGAGGUUAGAAUUUCAACUUACGAAUUUUAUGGGAGGAAAAAAAAUGUUCAGUUUAUAACACCUAGUAUAUAAUAGAUGUUCAAUGUUAAUAUAUGAUUUUAAAUGGACAUAUUUGAGAGAUAUUAUAAAGGAAGAAACAAAUGAAUAAUGGACUGAAUAUAGGAAACCAGGGAGAAAGAUACUCAAAGACGGGGAGGUAACUAGGUUAUUGACACACAUGUUGUAGUUGGGAAAGAGAGUCAAUUUGGAGUAAAAGCUAAUGAAUUUAACAUUGAACACAUUGAGCUUGAAGCAAUGGCAGGAUAUCUGAGUAAAUGUGUGCAGAAUGUAGUUGGAAAUACAGUACUGGAACACAUGUGAGAGGUUACAGGGGGGCUAUGUAUUGGGGUUAGAGAUACGAAUUUUAAAAUCAUGGACUGAGAAAUAAUAUUUGAAUCUAUGAGAACAGACAAACUUGCUAGAGGCAAAUAGCAGAACCUUGGAGAACAUCCACAAUUUAGAGAAAAGCAAAAGAAGUUAGAAGAUCAAUUUUUAAAAACUUAGGAGGAGAUCUAGGUAAGCCUUCAUCCAUGGAAACCAAUGGGAAAUUCUCAAUGAAUGGAUAACUGAUACUAUUACAUUGUCAAUACAUUGGAAAGACCAUGGAUGCCCAUCAAGGGGGAUUUGCUCAGCAAAUUAUAGCACAUCCACAUAAAGGAAAACUAUGCAACAUUUAGAGAAUGGUAGAUCUAUAUUUAUAGACAUGGAAAAUAUUUUAAAACAAAUGGAUUAAAAAACCAUAGGUUAAAGAACACCACGUGUAGAAUGUAAUCCUAUAAAAAUGAAUACAUAAAUACAUAUGGAGUAGGUAGAGAAAGUCCUUAAGAUUGUUUUCUGAGUUCUACUAACAAUUACCUAUGAUGGCAUCCAAGGCGAGUUUUACUUUUUCUUUGUACAUUUCUACAUUGCUUUUUUUUUUUUUUUUAUGAUAAUCAUGUAUCACUUCAAAAACAAAGUAUUUUUAGAAAAGAACGAAUACUACUGAAGUUGGUAUUGUGACUUUAUAUUCUUAUAUUAUCUGUUGGUCCACACUGAAUCCUUUCUGCCACUUGCAGGCCAUUUACUCAGCCUCAGGGUGUUUUUCUGGAGGUUGUCUCACUGAUUGGACCUACCUAGCUCUUUAGUUAGCAUUAGCUGAAGUCACUGGUGUUGUCCUUUGAGGUGCUUUGUGGAGAAAAAGCGUUGUAUGGUCAAUAGGUUAGAGAACUGUGAAUGUGAUACCUCACUUUAAGAGAUCACCAAUCACACUUGCACAUUCAAGUAUCUGUGAAGGUGCUCCUGAAAAUGAACUUGUCAACAUUUAAUCUAAUACUUCUCCAAAUUCUUUGAGCAUGGAGGGAGCUAUUUUCUUGUUUUAUCAACUGCUAACAUACCAUGGAACUAGUAUCUGCAAAGCAGAUUAUGAGAGACAUGAGCUUAAAUGGUGAUCUAGUGCUUUGUUAUGGAUUUUUCAGCUUUUCUUGAGUGAAAUUCAGUUUGACCAGCUAAUACGUGCAGUUCCUAGACUCCCUUGGAAUCUCUCCAAGAGACAGGUCAGUAACCUAAUAUUUCCCUUUGUUCUGUGGUAGGUCUCCAUCAGGCUUAUUUAAUGACAGGUCGUACACUGUCAGCAAGUACUUUAGAGUUAUAGUUUUGGAUCUCUUCAAGAUUCUAGUUGGAAAAAAAGGACAAAAAUACAGAGAAUCCCAAAGUUUGCUUCUUUGUGUAAAUUUUUCAUCUCCAGCUUUCCUCUUAUCUGGAAGUUAGAAAAUGUUAACAAUAUUCCAGUGGUAGAAAGUUAAUCACAUUUUGCAGCCAAUGAGUUGUUUUAAGAAAAUAUCAAAGUAAUGUAUGUUUUCAUUGAAGAUAAAUUGAGAAAUAAAUAGAAGAAAUUUAAAAACAUAUUAAUCACAUCAUACAGAAAAAAAUCAGUUAAUAUUUUGAUUUUUAAACCUCUAGACUCUAUUUAUGUUGAUACACAUAUAUAGAGUCUGAAUCACCACUUAAGCUCAAAUCUUCCAUAAUCUGCUCUGCAGAUAAUAGGUCCCAAUUUUAUUAGCAGUUGCUAAAACAAGAAAGAGUUCUAUUCUCAAAGAAUUUGGGGAAGUAUUAUUAAUAGAUUAAAUAUUGUCAAGUUUAUUUUCAGUGUAUGCAUUUGUUUUUUUGUUAUCAUCUGAACAACAAUGUAGUCACAUUAUACGUUUGUUAUAUAAUCUGCUUUCCCUCACUAAUUAAUAUAUAUAUAAAUAAUAUAUUUCCUUGUCAAGAAUAUAGAUUUACAUUAUAACUUUUAUGGAAU